This 253-nucleotide ribosomal RNA is filed under the name uncultured bacterium. Its description in RNAcentral is "partial 16S ribosomal RNA". It matches the Rfam family "Bacterial small subunit ribosomal RNA", at positions 524 to 776 of the family's 1533-position model. The record is from RNAcentral.
UACAGAGGUCCCAAGCGUUGUUCGGAUUCACUGGGCGUAAAGGGUGCGUAGGUGGUCGGGUAAGUCUGAUGUGAAAUCUCCGAGCUUAACUUGGAAACUGCAUCGGAUACUAUUUGGCUAGAGGGUUGGAGGGGGGACUGGAAUACUUGGUGUAACAGUGAAAUGCGUAGAUAUCAAGUGGAACACCAGUGGCAAAGGCGAGUCCCUGGACAACUCCUGACACUGAGGCACGAAAGCUAGUGAAGCAAACAGG